This 404-nucleotide ribosomal RNA is filed under the name Actinomycetes bacterium. RNAcentral describes it as "Actinobacteria bacterium partial 16S ribosomal RNA". It matches the Rfam family "Bacterial small subunit ribosomal RNA", at positions 355 to 776 of the family's 1533-position model. Lineage: Bacteria; Bacillati; Actinomycetota; Actinomycetes. The record is from RNAcentral.
UGGGGAAUAUUGGACAAUGGGCGCAAGCCUGAUCCAGCCAUGCCGCGUGAGUGAUGAAGGCCCUAGGGUUGUAAAGCUCUUUCACCGGUGAAGAUAAUGACGGUAACCGGAGAAGAAGCCCCGGCUAACUUCGUGCCAGCAGCCGCGGUAAUACGAAAGGGGCUAGCGUUGUUCGGAUUUACUGGGCGUAAAGCGCACGUAGGCGGACUUUUAAGUCAGGGGUGAAAUCCCGGGGCUCAACCCCGGAACUGCCUUUGAUACUGGAAGUCUUGAGUAUGGUAGAGGUGAGUGGAAUUCCGAGUGUAGAGGUGAAAUUCGUAGAUAUUCGGAGGAACACCAGUGGCGAAGGCGGCUCACUGGACCAUUACUGACGCUGAGGUGCGAAAGCGUGGGGAGCAAACAGG